Molecule: ribosomal RNA, 468 nt
Filed under: uncultured bacterium
Lineage: Bacteria
Description: partial 16S ribosomal RNA
Rfam family: Bacterial small subunit ribosomal RNA
Source: RNAcentral
GACGAACGCUGGCGGCGUGCUUAACACAUGCAAGUCGAACGGCAAGGCCCUGCUUUUGUUGGGUGCUCGAGUGGCGAACGGGUGAGUAACACGUGAGUAACCUGCCCAUGACUUGGUAAUAACUUCAGGAAACUGGUGCUAAUACCUGAUAGGAGCUCCUGCUGCAUGGUGGGGGUUGGAAAUUUUCGGCGGUUGGGGAUGGACGCCCGGCUUAUCAGCUUGUUGGUGGGGUAGUGGCUUACCAGGCCUUUGAUGGGUAGCCGGCCGGAGAGGGUGACCAGCCACCUUGGGCCUGAGAUACGGCCCAGACUCCUACGGGAGGCAGCAGUGGGGAAUCUUGCACAAUGGUCGGAAGCCUGAUGCAGCGACCCCGCGUGCGGGAUGACGGCCUGCGGGUUAUAAACCGCUUUCGCCUGUGACGAAGCGUGAAUGACGGUAAUGGGUAAAGAAGCACCGGCUAACUACGUG